AAAUGAAUUGACGGGGACCCGCACAAGCAGCGGAGCAUGUGGUUUAAUUCGAAGCAACGCGAAGAACCUUACCAGGGCUUGACAUCCCCCUGACGCCUUUUUAACCGAAGGGUCUUUCGGGCAGGGGAGACAGGUGGUGCAUGGUUGUCGUCAGCUCGUGUCGUGAGAUGUUGGGUUAAGUCCCGCAACGAGCGCAACCCUUGUCAAUAGUUGCCAUCAUUAAGUUGGGCACUCUAUUGAGACUGCCGGGGAUAACUCGGAGGAAGGUGGGGAUGACGUCAAAUCAUCAUGCCCCUUAUGUCCUGGGCUACACACGUGCUACAAUGGCCGGUACAACGAGAAGCAAGGUCGCGAGGCGGAGCAAAUCUCAAAAACCGGUCCCAGUUCGGAUUGCAGGCUGAAACCCGCCUGCAUGAAGUCGGAGUUGCUAGUAAUCGCGGAUCAGAAUGCCGCGGUGAAUGCGUUCCCGGGUCUUGUACACACCGCCCGU
This 490-nucleotide ribosomal RNA is filed under the name uncultured bacterium. RNAcentral's name for it is "bacterial SSU rRNA". It matches the Rfam family "Bacterial small subunit ribosomal RNA", at positions 903 to 1397 of the family's 1533-position model. The record is from RNAcentral.